Molecule: long non-coding RNA, 1177 nt
Filed under: Homo sapiens (human)
Lineage: Eukaryota; Metazoa; Chordata; Mammalia; Primates; Hominidae
Description: HSALNT0377294
Source: RNAcentral
GCGUCGGCGCGGCGGCCCAUCCGGCCUCGGGGCCUCCUGCGCACCCAGCUGCGCGUUGACGCCUCGCACCCAGGCUUGCGGACCGAUGAGGAAGCCGAGCGUUCGAGAGGGUGUGUGCGGGAGCCCUCACAGCCACAGAGUAGCAGAGCUCUGUUCGAACCUACGUCUGUCGCACUCCAAAUUCUGAACCCUUUCUCCAAACACGCCUCUGCCCCUGUGUCUACAACACCCAUUCAGGCAAAGCACAGUAUGCUGCGAAUCUGCUUUACUGGGAGCCAGUGGUCGUUUAGGUCUCUGUUCCCUCACCUGCAAAAUUAAGUUGACUCUAAGGUCAACUUUGGUCACCUCCUAGUUCACAUUGUCUAACAGUAGCCCGUACUCCCCAAUCUGGUAUCCUUUGUCUCCUGAAAGGACCCAGCAGUCCAAGGUCCAAGGGAGGAAUUCAGAAGCAACACUGUUUAAUCUAGAAAAAUACGUUAAAUUGCUGGGCUGAGACUGACAGUCAAAGGUCCCAAAGCAAAAACAACUGAGAGUCCCAUGAUACUGGCCUAGCUGCUUUUCUAAUAUUUGCCUUACUCAGCGGACACAGCAGAAAGAAAGAAGGAAUUAAAAACUGCUGGACUUGGAGCACAAUGGUCAAGGCCACACAUGACACGUCACUCUACCACAAAGUCAUCCACUAAAUCUCUACUAGAGGCAGAAAACUUCUCUCAACAUGAUCAACCCUAUCAGAUAUGCUUGCUUCCCCUUCACCUUUUGUCCUGAUUAUAAGUUUCCUGAGGCCUCCCCAGCCAUGCCUCCUGUACAGCCUGUGGAACUAAAAUCGCAUUGGCACACGGGAAGAAAAAAAAUUUACAAAAAAUCCCCCAAAGAACCAAAGCAGGACAAAAGCUUUACUUCUGCAAAGGUUGCUGCCAACACAGGAAGUGUUUAAAAAUACUAUCCGAAUGGACAACAAUUGAAAGGCUGCACCAGCCUUUCCAAAGUACUGCUACAGAGAGGGCCUAAACUCCGCAUUUAGACACACAGAUCAUUUUUCACCCAUUCAACACAUCCUCCUAUGCCGAAACUGCUGAUCAGUAGGAACAUCAAUUUUGAGUAGCAAAACAAAUGACAUUCCACGGCACUAGCCUUAGGAUUGGCAGUGUUCAGGGCGCGAGGAUCGGGGCAGAGUUGA